CUGAUUGGAAAAAAAAAGCAUAUAUAGAAUAGGAACAGAAAGCGGAAAAGAAAAAGAAGGUUCUUACUCCCCCAUUCCACCAUUUCAUCGUUGACACAUUUCCCCAUGGCGAUCAUGAGAUUUAAGGGAAAUGAAAACAGCUUCUUAUCAUAAAGAGACUGAGAAUUCCUAUUCUGGAUUCUCAAAACAGCCACGAAAGAUACACUGGACAGAAUUUUCUCUCCCAUUUGCCAGAUAGAGACAGUGAGUCUCAGAAAAGUUAAGAGACUUGUCCACAGUAUCUUAACUAAUGUGGUUUGGGAAUAGGUGCCACUAAGAGGAUGUCUAUUAGAGAGAAGAACCCACAUGUCUUAGAAUAGGGUCAUUUCUGGUCACUGAGAAAUUAUUCCAUUCAAAUCCAGGUUUCCAGGGAAGAAUGAAUGUGUAGCACAUGUGUGGACGGGACAGGCCCACACAAGGAAAUGAGUCCCUCGUGAUGCUUCCCAGAGAUUCUCUCUGGCCUGAACUGGUAAGAAGUUGGUCUGGGUUGAAGGCACUAGACAGAUCAUCAAAUUAAACUCUCCAUAUGUCAACUCAUCAUGGUCAUCAUGGCCUCUUAGUCCAGAAGCACCUCUGGCUGCAGGGAUGACCUCAGUUGGGGACUCACAAGAAGGACCAAGGCACCUUCUGCAAAGUGCUGCCAGCCAGUACCCAGAGGGGUCCCGGCAGAGCUCAGUGGGCUUCAUGCAGCUGGUGCCAGCAUUACCCUCCUUUCCCGAGGGCAAGUCUGUGUAGAGCUCCGUUAGUAGACAGAACCAUUUGCCUUGGCACCUUUGCUCCUUCUAUCUCCAUCCCCUCUGAGAUUUCUUAAAAGAACACAUGGGCCCACUCGACAUCGCUCCACUGAGCUCUCUCUAACCUCCUUGCACUGAGUCGGGAGCUUUGCACAAAGAAGGGAAAUUAAGAUUGCGUGUACACCCCGAUCCUAACUCCGAAGGAAGCAAUCAUCUAGGACCAUCCUGCUGGACCCAACAGUGCGAAACAGCGGGUGAGGGGAGAACCAGGCCCCCUGAAGAAAGUCCUGAAUGAUGGGAGCCUUGGUGAUGGGACGGACCAACAAGUUCCAGAGUAACAACAGAUGGCAGGAGGCAGGAGAUCCAGCUGAAGAGAAGAGGGUCUGACAGCAAGUUGCUGACCCAGCUUCUAGCACAGCUGCCCUCUUCCACAGAAUGGGAAGAAGGAACCUUUUGUGCCUCUCCGUACCAUCAUCCUCAACACUCGGUAGAAAACAAGCAAGACCCUUCUAUCUUGGAGAAGUCUGGCCACUUGUUCCGCAGAGGCUGCUGUGGAAAGGAGCCAUUCCGCGUGCCAGGAUGAUUGGAGGGAUGAAAUCCUACCUGGGAAACGAGAGCAACAUGGGGAGUAGGCUACAGCCCUGUCCCAGCUACAUGGCCUUGGACAUGUCCUUUAGCCUUCUGGGACCUCUCUUUCUCCGUCUAUCAAACAAGGGGGCUCUAAAGACUUUCCCUCUUCAGU
Molecule: long non-coding RNA, 1515 nt
Organism: Ailuropoda melanoleuca (giant panda)
Lineage: Eukaryota; Metazoa; Chordata; Mammalia; Carnivora; Ursidae
Exons: 3
Source: RefSeq, a predicted model, not a curated record